This 403-nucleotide ribosomal RNA is filed under the name uncultured bacterium. Its description in RNAcentral is "partial 16S ribosomal RNA". It matches the Rfam family "Bacterial small subunit ribosomal RNA", at positions 28 to 526 of the family's 1533-position model. The record is from RNAcentral.
GACGAACGCUGGCGGCGUGCCUAAUACAUGCAAGUCGAACGCAGUGGGGACGGGUGAGUAACACGUGGGUAACCUCCCAUCAGAGGGGAUAACACUUGGAAACGGGUCCUAACCCCAUAUUGAUGGAUGAACCGGGGUUGCAUUAGCUAGUUGGUGGGGUAACGGCUCACCAAGGCCACGAUGCAUAGCCGACCUGAGAGGGUGAUCGGCCACACUGGGACGGAGACACGGCCCAGACUCCUACGGGAGGCAGCAGUAGGGAAUCUUCGGCAAUGGACGAAAGUCUGACCGAGCAACGCCGCGUGAGUGAAGAAGGUUUUCGGAUCGUAAAACUCUGUUGUUAGAGAAGCGGUAUCUAACCAGAAAGCCACGGCUAACUACGUGCCAGCAGCCGCGGUAAUUC